Molecule: ribosomal RNA, 483 nt
Filed under: uncultured bacterium
Lineage: Bacteria
Description: partial 16S ribosomal RNA
Rfam family: Bacterial small subunit ribosomal RNA
Source: RNAcentral
AUUGAACGCUGGCGGCAGGCCUAACACAUGCAAGUCGAGCGGAUGAAGGGAGCUUGCUCCUGGAUCCAGCGGCGGACGGGUGAGUAAUGCCUAGGAAUCUGCCUGGUAGUGGGGGAUAACGUCCGGAAACGGGCGCUAAUACCGCAUACGUCCUGAGGGAGAAAGUGGGGGAUCUUCGGACCUCACGCUAUCAGAUGAGCCUAGGUCGGAUUAGCUAGUUGGUGGGGUAAAGGCCUACCAAGGCGACGAUCCGUAACUGGUCUGAGAGGAUGAUCAGUCACACUGGAACUGAGACACGGUCCAGACUCCUACGGGAGGCAGCAGUGGGGAAUAUUGGACAAUGGGCGAAAGCCUGAUCCAGCCAUGCCGCGUGUGUGAAGAAGGUCUUCGGAUUGUAAAGCACUUUAAGUUGGGAGGAAGGGCAGUAAGUUAAUACCUUGCUGUUUUGACGUUACCAACAGAAUAAGCACCGGCUAACUUCGU